GAUGAACGCUGGCGGCGUGCCUAAUACAUGCAAGUCGAGCGAACAGACGAGGAGCUUGCUCCUCUGACGUUAGCGGCGGACGGGUGAGUAACACGUGGAUAACCUACCUAUAAGACUGGAAUAACUUCGGGAAACCGGAGCUAAUACCGGAUAAUAUAUUGAACCGCAUGGUUCAAUAGUGAAAGACGGUUUUGCUGUCACUUAUAUAUGGAUCCGCGCCGCAUUAGCUAGUUGGUAAGGUAACGGCUUACCAAGGCAACGAUGCGUAGCCGACCUGAGAGGGUGAUCGGCCACACUGGAACUGAGACACGGUCCAGACUCCUACGGGAGGCAGCAGUAGGGAAUCCUCCGCAAUGGGCGAAAGCCUGACGGAGCAACGCCGCGUGAGUGAUGAAGGUCUUCGGAUCGUAAAACUCUGUUAUUAGGGAAGAACAAAUGUGUAAGUAACUAUGCACGUCUUGACGGUACCUAAUCAGAAAGCCACGGCUAACUACGUG
RNAcentral lists this ribosomal RNA (497 nucleotides) under uncultured bacterium. Its description in RNAcentral is "partial 16S ribosomal RNA". It matches the Rfam family "Bacterial small subunit ribosomal RNA", at positions 28 to 507 of the family's 1533-position model. The record is from RNAcentral.